ACAGACAGCCCCCAGAAUGAAACCAAGACAUGUCAGGACAGACAGACAGCCCCCAAAAUGAAUCCAAGACACGUCAGGACAGACAGACAGCCCGAGUGCCAGGACAGACAGCUGCAGACAAACAGCCCACAGAUGGGACCUGACUCACGGAGGGUGGGGCAGGGAAGGAAGGGGCUCCCAACCCCAAACCCUCUCUGCAGGCAAACCCAAAGCCGAGGUGGGGAUGGAGCAGGGUGGAGCUGGGCAGAGGAGGUCGGGAAAAGCUCCGGGAAAGAAUCCGAGGCCGCCCAGAGCUCGGUGAACAGGAGUUUUGGGUGCCUGGGGAGCUUCUGGUGCUUCCCGACCUCUGCUGCCUGCUGAGAGAGAGGAGGGGAAGUGCGCUGAGGGUCCCCAGCUGGAGUGGGGAGCAGGAAUUCCAGAGGAAUUCCAGGUGAAGCCACCUGCCCCAAGAGCAGAGGAGAAACCAAGAGGCUGAGCUCAUCCAGCCCUGCAGGUCCUGGAUGUGGCUUUGGGUUUGUUUUGUUUUUCUGAGAACAAAGCCCCGCUCUGGUCCCACAGCCCUCAGUGCCAGCUGGGGCUCUCCUCCCCUCCACUCCCAUGGAGUUCCAUGGAAUCACGGAAUUAUUCCUGCUGGGAAAGCCCUCUAAGACCACUGAGCCCAAACAUGAGCCCGGCGCUGCCAAGCCACCACGAAACCGCGUCCGCAGCUUUUAAACCCCUCCCCUGCUGCGCGCCCGGAGUUCCACGAAACGCAUCUCCCAGAUCUGUCAUUCCACGGAGAGGAGACAUCGCAGAGCCCCGGCCGUGCUCCCCAGCCCGUGGCACCAUUCAUUCCCUGCCAGGAGGGGAGGCUCUGCACCCGCCCAGGAAAAGCCCGGCGGCUGGAGGCUCCCCAAAAUUCCCGGGGGUGACUGCGGCAGGCAGAGCUGGCUCUGGGGAGCUGAUCCGUGGGCAGCCCUCUCCUCAUCCCCAGGAUGGUUUUGGGGAUCCCUCUCCUCAUCCCCAGGAUGGUUUUGGGGAUCCCUCUCCUCAUCCCCAGGAUGGUUUUGGGGAUCCCUCUCCUCAUCCCCAGGAUGGUUUUGGGGAUCCCUCUCCUCAUCCCCAGGAUGGUUUUGGGGAUCCCUCUCCUCAUCCCCAGGAUGGUUUUGGGGAUCCCUCUCCUCAUCCCCAGGAUGGUUUUGGGGAUCCCUCUCCUCAUCCCCAGGAUGGUUUUGGGGAUCCCUCUCCUCAUCCCCAGGAUGGUUUUGGGGAUCCCUCUCCUCAUCCCCAGGAUGGUUUUGGGGAUCCCUCUCCUCAUCCCCAGGAUGGUUUUGGGGAUCCCUCUCCUCAUCCCCAGGAUGGUUUUGGGGAUCCCUCUCCUCAUCCCCAGGAUGGUUUUGGGGAUCCCUCUCCUCAUCCCCAGGAUGGUUUUGGGGAUCCCUCUCCUCAUCCCCAGGAUGGUUUUGGGGAUCCCUCUCCUCAUCCCCAGGAUAUCCGUGGGCAGCCCUGUCCUCAUCCCCAGGAUGGUUUUGGGGAUCCCUCUCCUCAUCCCCAGGAUGGUUUUGGGGAGCUGAUCCGUGGGCAGCCCUGUCCUCAUCCCCAGGAUGGUUUUGGGGAUCCCUCUGCUCAUCCCCCAGGAUGGUUUUGGGGAUCCCUCUGCUCAUCCCCAGGAUGGUUUUGGGGAGCCCUCCCCUCACCCCCAGGAUGGUUUUGGGGGCUGAUCCAUGCACAGCUCUCCCCUCACCCCCAGCCCCAGCCCUGGGGGAGGUCACCCCGCGCUCGCAUGACUCGGGAAGCCGUGAAAAUGAUGAAGCUUCACAUGUUGAGUCAUUCCACCAUCAGGAGAGGAAGCAAUGAAUUGCAGAGAUACAGAGGUGGUAACUAA
Long non-coding RNA from Ficedula albicollis (Collared flycatcher), 1864 nucleotides. Lineage: Eukaryota; Metazoa; Chordata; Aves; Passeriformes; Muscicapidae. The record is from Ensembl.